CCUACGGGAGGCAGCAGUGGGGAAUAUUGGGCAAUGGGCGCAAGCCUGACCCAGCAAUGCCGCGUGAAGGAAGACGGCUUUCGGGUUGUAAACCUCUUUGACAGGGGAAGAGCAGAAGACGGUACCCUGAAAACAAGCCACGGCUAACUACGUGCCAGCAGCCGCGGUAAUACGUAGGGGGCAAGCGUUGUCCGGAUUUACUGGGUGUAAAGGGCGUGUAGGCGGGAAGGUAAGUCAGCUGUGAAAUUUGGAGGCUCAACCACCAAAUUGCAGUUGAAACUGUUUUUCUUGAGUACUGGGAAGGCAGACGGAAUUCGUGGUGUAGCGGUGAAAUGCGUAGAUAUAAGGAAGAACACCAGUGGCGAAGGCAGUCGGCUGGAGAGCAACUGACGGUGAGGCGCGAAAGCGCGGGGAGCAAACAGGAUUAGAUACCCGUGUAGUC
This 442-nucleotide ribosomal RNA is filed under the name uncultured bacterium. RNAcentral describes it as "partial 16S ribosomal RNA". It matches the Rfam family "Bacterial small subunit ribosomal RNA", at positions 338 to 795 of the family's 1533-position model. The record is from RNAcentral.